GAUGAACGCUGGCGGCGUGCCUAACACAUGCAAGUCGAGCGGAGACCUGUGAAGUAGUAAUACGGAACGGAUCUUAGCGGCGGACGGGUGAGUAACACGUGAGUAAUCUGCCUUUUGCUGGGGAAUAACAUUGUGAAAACAGUGCUAAUACCGCAUGACAUCCGACUGGGGCAUCCCGGACGGAUCAAAGGAGAAAUCCGGCAAAAGAUGAACUCGCGUCCGAUUAGCUAGUUGGUGAGGUAGUGGCUCACCAAGGCGACGAUCGGUAGCCGAACUGAGAGGUUGAUCGGCCACAUUGGGACUGAGACACGGCCCAGACUCCUACGGGAGGCAGCAGUGGGGAAUAUUGGGCAAUGGGCGAAAGCCUGACCCAGCAACGCCGCGUGAAGGACGAAGGCCUUCGGUUGUAAACUUCUUUGUAUCAGGGACGAAAAAUAGACGGUACCUGAAGAACAAGACCACGGCUAACUACGUGCCAGCAGCCGCGGUAAACGUAGACGUG
This 502-nucleotide ribosomal RNA is filed under the name uncultured bacterium. RNAcentral describes it as "bacterial SSU rRNA". It matches the Rfam family "Bacterial small subunit ribosomal RNA", at positions 28 to 533 of the family's 1533-position model. The record is from RNAcentral.